RNAcentral lists this ribosomal RNA (498 nucleotides) under uncultured bacterium. RNAcentral's name for it is "partial 16S ribosomal RNA". It matches the Rfam family "Bacterial small subunit ribosomal RNA", at positions 28 to 508 of the family's 1533-position model. The record is from RNAcentral.
GAUGAACGCUGGCGGCGUGCCUAAUACAUGCAAGUCGAGCGAACAGACGAGGAGCUUGCUCCUCUGACGUUAGCGGCGGACGGGUGAGUAACACGUGGAUAACCUACCUAUAAGACUGGGAUAACUUCGGGAAACCGGAGCUAAUACCGGAUAAUAUAUUGAACCGCAUGGUUCAAUAGUGAAAGACGGUUUUGCUGUCACUUAUAGAUGGAUCCGCGCCGCAUUAGCUAGUUGGUAAGGUAACGGCUUACCAAGGCAACGAUGCGUAGCCGACCUGAGAGGGUGAUCGGCCACACUGGAACUGAGACACGGUCCAGACUCCUACGGGAGGCAGCAGUAGGGAAUCUUCCGCAAUGGGCGAAAGCUUGACGGAGCAACGCCGCGUGAGUGAUGAAGGUCUUCGGAUCGUAAAACUCUGUUAUUAGGGAAGAACAAAUGUGUAAGUAACGAUGCACGUCUUGACGGUACCUAAUCAGAAAGCCACGGCUAACUACGUGC